UGCAGUCGAGGGGCAGCAGGGUGGUAGCAAUACCACUGCUGGCGACCGGCAAACGGGUGCGGAACACGUACGCAAUCUACCCAUAACUGGGGCAUAGCCCUCCGAAAGGAGGAUUAAUACCUCGUAACCUUCGCAGGUGGCAUCACCUGCUUAGUAUAGCUCCGGCGGUUAUGGAUGAGCGUGCGGCUGAUUAGGUAGUUGGCGGGGUAACGGCCCACCAAGCCUGCGAUCAGUAACUGGUGUGAGAGCACGACCAGUCACACGGGCACUGAGACUCGGGCCCGACUCCUACGGGAGGCAGCAGUAAGGAAUAUUGGUCAAUGGACGCAAGUCUGAACCAGCCAUGCCGCGUGAAGGAUGAAGGUCCUCUGGAUUGUAAACUUCUUUUAUAGGGGAAGAAAUCACCGGAUUCUUCUGGUGUUGACGGUACCCUAGGAAUAAGCACCGGCUAACUCCGUGCCAGCAGCCGCGGUAAUACGGAGGGUGCGAGCGUUAUCCGGAUUCACUGGGUUUAAAGGGUGCGUAGGAGGGCAGGGAAGUCAGUGGUGAAAUCCUAGAGCUUAACUCUAGAACUGCCGUUGAUACUCUCUGUCUUGAAUCCCGUGGAGAUGAGCGGAAUAUGUCAUGUAGCGGUGAAAUGCUUAGAUAUGACAUAGAACACCAAUUGCGAAGGCAGCUCGUUACACGAAGAUUGACUCUGAGGCACGAAAGCGUGGGGAUC
RNAcentral lists this ribosomal RNA (721 nucleotides) under uncultured bacterium. RNAcentral's name for it is "bacterial SSU rRNA". It matches the Rfam family "Bacterial small subunit ribosomal RNA", at positions 56 to 769 of the family's 1533-position model. The record is from RNAcentral.